GAGAAGUAAUUCACCUUUUGUUCUAGCGGCGGACGGGUGAGUAACGCGUGAGCAACCUGUCCUUGUCUGGGGGAUAAGGAGCCGAAAGGCUCUCUAAUACCGCAUGAGACCACGGGAUCACAUGGUUCUGAGGUCAAAGGAUUUCGGUCCGGACAGGGGUGGGCUCGCGUCUGAUUAGCUAGUUGGUGGGGUAAGGGCUCACCAAGGCAACCACCAGAAGCCGACCUGAGAGGGUGAUCGGCCACAUUGACUGAACCGGUCCAACUCCUACGAAGCAGCAGUGGGGAAUAUUGGCAUGGGCGAAAGCUGACCCAGCACGCGCGUGAGGAGAAGGCUUCGGGUCGUAAACUCUAUCCCAGAUGAAGAUAAUGACGGUAAUCUGAAGGAAGCCCGGCUAACUACGUGCAGCAGCUGCGGUAAUACGUAGGGGGCAAGCGUGUCCGGAAUGAUUGGGCGUAAAGGGCGCGUAGGCGGCCUUUAAGUCCGAUGUGAAAGUCCUGCUUUUAAGGUGGGAAUUGCAUUGGAAACUGGAAGGCUUGAGUGCAGGAGAGGUAAGUGGAAUUCCCGGUGUAGCGGUGAAAUGCGUAGAGAUCGGGAGGAACACCAGUGGCGAAGGCGACUUACUGGACUGUAACUGACGCUGAGGCGCGAAAGUGUGGGGAGCAAACAGGAUUAGAUACCCUGGUAGUCCACACGGUAAACGAUGAGUGCUAGGUGUAGGAGGUAUCGACCCCUUCUGUGCCGGAGUCAACACAAUAAGCACUCCGCCUGGGGAGUACGGCCGCAAGGUUGAAACUCAAAGGAAUUGACGGGGGCCCGCACAAGCAGCGGAGCAUGUUGUUUAAUUCGAAGCAACGCGAAGAACCUUACCAGGUCUUGACAUCCAGUAAAAACUGUAGAGAUACAGUGUGACUUCGGUCAUACUGAGACAGGUGGUGCAUGGUUGUCGUCAGCUCGUGUCGUGAGAUGUUGGGUUAAGUCCCGCAACGAGCGCAACCUUGUGAUUAGUUACUAACGCGUAAUGCGAGACUCUAAUAAGACUGCCGGGACAACUCGGAGGAGGUGGGGACGACGUCAAUCAUCAUGCCAUUAUGACCUGGCUACAACGUGCUACAUGGCAUACAGAAGCUGGAACUGUAAGAGUAGCGAAUCUAAUAAAAGAGGGCCCAGUUCGGAUUGUGGGCUGCAACCCGCCCACAUGAAGUCGGAGUUGCUAGUAAUCGCGAAUCAGCAUGUCGCGGUGAAUACGUUCCCGGGCCUUGUACACACCGCCCGUCACACCAUGGGAGUUGAUAGCGCCCGAAGUCGGUGAGGCAACCGUAAGGAGUCAGCCGCCGAAGGUGAGAUCAAUGGCUGGGGUGAAGUCGUAACAAGGUAACC
Molecule: ribosomal RNA, 1380 nt
Filed under: uncultured microorganism
Description: 16S ribosomal RNA
Rfam family: Bacterial small subunit ribosomal RNA
Source: RNAcentral